AGCUUGCUUUCUUUGCUGGCGACCGGCGCACGGGUGAGUAACACGUAUCCAACCUGCCCUUUACUCGGGGAUAGCCUUUCGAAAGAAAGAUUAAUACCCGAUGGCAUAAUGAUUCCGCAUGGUUUCAUUAUUAAAGGAUUCCGGUAAAGGAUGGGGAUGCGUUCCAUUAGGUUGUUGGUGAGGUAACGGCUCACCAAGCCUUCGAUGGAUAGGGGUUCUGAGAGGAAGGUCCCCCACAUUGGAACUGAGACACGGUCCAAACUCCUACGGGAGGCAGCAGUGAGGAAUAUUGGUCAAUGGGCGCUAGCCUGAACCAGCCAAGUAGCGUGAAGGAUGAAGGCUCUAUGGGUCGUAAACUUCUUUUAUAUAAGAAUAAAGUGCAGUAUGUAUACUGUUUUGUAUGUAUUAUAUGAAUAAGGAUCGGCUAACUCCGUGCCAGCAGCCGCGGUAAUACGGAGGAUCCGAGCGUUAUCCGGAUUUAUUGGGUUUAAAGGGAGCGUAGGUGGACUGGUAAGUCAGUUGUGAAAGUUUGCGGCUCAACCGUAAAAUUGCAGUUGAUACUGUCAGUCUUGAGUACAGUAGAGG
RNAcentral lists this ribosomal RNA (585 nucleotides) under uncultured Bacteroides sp. RNAcentral describes it as "bacterial SSU rRNA". It matches the Rfam family "Bacterial small subunit ribosomal RNA", at positions 77 to 657 of the family's 1533-position model. The record is from RNAcentral. Lineage: Bacteria; Pseudomonadati; Bacteroidota; Bacteroidia; Bacteroidales; Bacteroidaceae.